AGUGAACGCUGGCGGUAGGCCUAACACAUGCAAGUCGAACGGCAGCACAGUAAGAGCUUGCUCUUACGGGUGGCGAGUGGCGGACGGGUGAGGAAUACAUCGGAAUCUACUUUUUCGUGGGGGAUAACGUAGGGAAACUUACGCUAAUACCUCAUACUACCUACGGGUGAAAGCAGGGGAUCUUCGGACCUUGCGCGAUUGAAUGAGCCGAUGUCGGAUUAGCUAGUUGGCGGGGUAAAGGCCCACCAAGGCGACGAUCCGUAGCUGGUCUGAGUGGAUGAUCAGCCACACUGGAACUGAGACACGGUCCAGACUCCUACGGGAGGCACCAGUGGGGAAUAUUGGCCAAUGGGCGCAAGCCUGAUCCAGCCAUACCGCGUGGGUGAAGAAGGCCUUCGGGUUGUAAAGCCCUUUUGUUGGGAAAGAAAAGCAGCAGGUUAAUACCCCGCUGUUCUGACGGUACCCAAAGAAUAAGCACCGGCUAACUUCGUG
RNAcentral lists this ribosomal RNA (492 nucleotides) under uncultured bacterium. Its description in RNAcentral is "partial 16S ribosomal RNA". It matches the Rfam family "Bacterial small subunit ribosomal RNA", at positions 29 to 507 of the family's 1533-position model. The record is from RNAcentral.